GAAUAAGGAUCGGCUAACUCCGUGCCAGCAGCCGCGGUAAUACGGAGGAUCCAAGCGUUAUCCGGAAUCAUUGGGUUUAAAGGGUCCGUAGGCGGCUUUAUAAGUCAGUGGUGAAAUCUCCCCGCUCAACGGGGAAACGGCCAUUGAUACUGUAAGGCUUGAAUUAUUAGGAAGUAACUAGAAUAUGUAGUGUAGCGGUGAAAUGCUUAGAGAUUACAUGGAAUACCAAUUGCGAAGGCAGGUUACUACUAAUUGAUUGACGCUGAUGGACGAAAGCGUGGGUAGCGAACAGGAUUAGAUACCCUGGUAGUCCACGCCGUAAACGAUGGAUACUAGCUGUUGGGAGCAAUCUCAGUGGCUAAGCGAAAGUGAUAAGUAUCCCACCUGGGGAGUACGUUCGCAAGAAUGAAACUCAAAUGAAUUGACGGG
This 429-nucleotide ribosomal RNA is filed under the name uncultured bacterium. RNAcentral's name for it is "bacterial SSU rRNA". It matches the Rfam family "Bacterial small subunit ribosomal RNA", at positions 484 to 917 of the family's 1533-position model. The record is from RNAcentral.